Paramuricea clavata is the source of this 336-nucleotide non-coding RNA. The record is from the annotation of a GenBank genome assembly. Lineage: Eukaryota; Metazoa; Cnidaria; Anthozoa; Malacalcyonacea; Plexauridae.
GUUGUGACAAGUCUGGAACAAGUUGUUAUCACCUUGUUACAAGGUUGAUGACGGUAACAGACUUGCUACAAGUUGUUCCAACAAGACUAAUACAGGCUGUUCGUAACAAGUUGCUACGAGCUUGUUGUCAUCAACUUGUUAACAACUUGUUACGUGCAGACGAUAUCAGACUUGUUGGAACAACUUGUUGCGAGUCUGUUGGCCUCGUCAACCUUGUUACAAGAUGAUAACAACUUGUUCCAGACUUGUCAACAACUGGGAACAAGCAGUGCGAACACGUCUUGUUGAUAAGCUGUGAUAUUGUUACGGCUGUAGUACUAACAAUUUGGUUGCAGG